This 402-nucleotide ribosomal RNA is filed under the name uncultured bacterium. RNAcentral describes it as "bacterial SSU rRNA". It matches the Rfam family "Bacterial small subunit ribosomal RNA", at positions 355 to 773 of the family's 1533-position model. The record is from RNAcentral.
UAGGGAAUAUUGCAAAAUGGGCGAAAGCCCGAUGCAGCAACGCCGCGUGGGCGAUGAAGGCCUUCGGGUCGUAAAGCCCUUUUUGAGGGGAUGAGGAAGGACAGUACCCUCAGAAUAAGCCUCGGCUAACUACGUGCCAGCAGCCGCGGUAAAACGUAGGAGGCGAGCGUUAUCCGGAUUUACUGGGCGUAAAGCGCGUGCAGGCGGAUUGGAGAGUUGGAUGUGAAAGCUCCCGGCUUAACUGGGAGAGGUCGUUCAAUACUUCCAGGCUUGAGUGCAGUAGAGGCAAGUGGAAUUCUGGGUGUAGUGGUGAAAUGCGGAGAUAUCCGGAGGAACACCAGUGGCGAAAGCGGCUUCCUGGACUGUAACUGACGCUCAGACGCGAAAGCUAGGGUAGCAAAC